GUCUAUGGCCAUACCACCCUGAACACGCCUGAUCUUGUCUGAUCUCAGAAGCUAAGCAGGGUCGGGCCUGGUUAGUACUUGGAUGGGAGAAAAAGCCAAAUAUUGCUUGAGUGAAAUACGUGGAAUCUAAGCCU
This 134-nucleotide ribosomal RNA is filed under the name Castor canadensis (American beaver). Lineage: Eukaryota; Metazoa; Chordata; Mammalia; Rodentia; Castoridae. The record is from RNAcentral.